RNA transcript from Helianthus annuus (common sunflower), 5700 nucleotides. It is a transcript of the gene named probable LRR receptor-like serine/threonine-protein kinase RFK1, with no coding region annotated. The record is from RefSeq and is a predicted model, not a curated record. The transcript is spliced from 23 exons. Lineage: Eukaryota; Viridiplantae; Streptophyta; Magnoliopsida; Asterales; Asteraceae.
CAACCUUAAUCUCUUUAUCUAGAAGCUAACAAAAGAAGACCAAUAAUUCAUUCAAACACGUAGAGGGCCCCACAACUCAAGUCUACCUGCAAUGCAAUGUCUGUCAAAAUAAGCUUUUGGGGGUGUUGACUCCAUGAAAUAUCACAUUCGUUUUUCCAUCCGUUCCAAUUUAUCUCUACCUUCCCCCAUCUCCCUAAACAAUCUGCCAGUAUGUUAUGUUAGAUCACAACAAGUAGGGCUGUUUAAAAUAAAUGAAAAAAAAGUGGUCUGAUUGAAUGAAAUAUCUCAUUAGUCCUCCCAUCAUCAAUUCUGCAACAAUGGCGGCAACAAAAGCUGAAUUCAUGCUGCUUCUGAUUCUCAAUGUGAUCAUCAUGCAAAGAUUAGCUGAAUCUGGUGUGCCACAACAAGAAGUGGAAGCUGUUGGGAACAUUCUUGCUUCCAUGAAUGCAACAAGUUGGAGAUUUGAUGGCGACGAUUGCAGUCUUCAUAUGGUUUCUGAAGUGCCAAAGCCAUCUCAAGAAGCUAAUGCCAGCAUUGGAUGUGAUUGCAACAUUGGCAACCAUACCGAUGAUUGUCAUGUCGUAUGGAUCACACACCAGUUUUACAGCCUUGAUGGGGUACUCUCACCUGAAUUAGUAAAGCUUCCUUACCUCUGGUCCAUAGAUUUUGCUUACAAUUACUUAAGUGGCACAAUACCGCCUGAAUGGGGUUCAACAACGUUACAAGAAAUCUCCCUUCUUGGUAACCGUUUAACUGGAUCAAUUCCACCGGAACUAGGCAAUAUCACCACUCUCACAAAACUGAACUUUGAAGCAAACCAGCUUUCAGGAACUAUUCCAUCUGAGUUAGGGAGAUUAACAAAUUUAAAAACAUUGAUAUUGUCUUCAAAUAGGUUGACUGGAAGGCUGCCAACAACCCUUGGUCAACUAGGAAAUCUAACAGAAUUUAGGAUAAAGGAAAACAAUUUCAGCGGGUCGAUACCUGAUUUUAUACAAAACUGGAGAUUACUUACUAGAUUAGAGAUGGUGGCGAGUGGACUCACGGGACCUAUUCCUUCAAACAUAUCUCUUCUUGAGAAUCUAACAGAUCUGAGAAUUGGUGAAAUAACCGGACCUGCUCAAGCUUUUCCUCAGCUCAACAAUACUCAUGGAUUAAUAAGAUUGAUCUUGAGAAAUUGCAACAUAUCUGGAGAAAUACCGGAAUACAUCUGGCUAAUGAGGGAACUUGAAGUUUUGGAUUUAAGUUUUAAUCGGUUAGUAGGGAGAAUAUCUAAUAACAUCGUGGGGUGGACCUUGAGAUUUGUGUUUUUGACCGCUAAUAUGCUAAGUGGAGACAUACCAGAUACACUUUUGUUAAAUGGAGCUACUAUUGAUUUUUCCUACAACAAUUUUACAUGGCAAGGACCUGAUCAAGCCACAUGCCGACAAAACCAGAAUUACUAUGUAAACAUAUUCAGAAGCUCCUCGACAGGAAAGCCAAUGCAUGAUAUGCUCCCGUGCACGGAGAAUAUUAAGGGUCCUAGAUCUGCGUGCUCUUUACAUGUUAACUGUGGCGGGAAUGAUUUAGCGGUCAGGGAAAACGAGCAGUCUGUUCUUUAUGAAGGAGACGCCAAUGUGGAUGGUGGUGCCGCCAGGCUGUACAAAGCCGCCAGGAACUGGGGACUUAGUAGCACCGGUGACUUCAUGGAUGACAACAAUUUUCAAAAUGCGCGAUAUGCAGAAUCUUUACAGGGCAACACGAGGUUACCUGCACUUUAUACAACCGCACGGCUCUCACCACUUACACUCACUUACUUCAGCUACUGUCUGGAGAACGGUGAAUAUUCUGUUAAACUGCAUUUCGCAGAGAUACAGUUCACUAACGAUAGCACGUAUAAAAGUCUGGGCAGGCGGAUAUUUGAUAUCUAUAUUCAGGGACGGCGGGUCAGAAAGGAUUUUAAUAUCGAAGAUGAGGCAGGUGGUGUUGGACGGCCCGUGGUCGUGCCAUUUAACGCUAGUGUGACUGUUAGCAUCUUGGAGAUCCGGUUUUACUGGGCGGGUAAAGGGACGACCCGUUUUCCUAAAGCAGGAGUUUAUGGGCCUCUUGUAUCAGCUAUUGACGUUGACCUGCAUUUUAAAACUUGUUCGAUGGGUGGAAAAAAGUCGAAUAAAGCUGUUUAUAUAGGUGUUGGCAUUGCUGUCCCGUUUCUUAUUUUCUUGAUCUUGGUAGUUUUGUGGCGGAAAAAAUGUUUUAAAGGCCGAAAAGCGAACGAUAAAGAUUUUGAAGGAAUGGAGCUUAAAACGAUUUCGUUUUCUUUGAAACAACUAAAGACUGCUACAAACAACUUCAAGGAUUCCAACAAAAUCGGGGAAGGAGGUUUUGGGGCUGUUUACAAGGGUACGUUGAGUGAUGGCACAGUGGUUGCAGUGAAGCAGCUUUCGUCUCACUCAAAGCAGGGAAACCGUGAGUUCUUGAAUGAGAUCGGUGUGAUUUCGUGUUUACAACACCCGAAUCUUGUUAAACUUCAUGGAUGUUGCAUUGAAGGAGAUCAGUUGUUGCUGGUUUAUGAAUACAUGGAAAAUAAUAGCCUUGCAAAUGCUUUGUUUGGUGGUAAAAGUGGAUUAACGUUGGAUUGGCCAACAAGGUUCAGGAUAUGUAUCGGGAUUGCUCGAGGUUUAGCUUUUCUUCACGAUGAAUCGAGGAUCAAAAUUGUCCACCGGGACAUUAAAGCCACAAAUGUGCUACUUGAUAAAGAUCUCAACCCAAAAAUUUCGGAUUUCGGAUUGGCAAGGCUAAAUGAGGACGAUAAGACUCACGUUAGCACACGAGUUGCCGGAACAAUUGGAUACAUUGCACCCGAGUAUGCCCUCCGGGGUCACUUGAGCGACAAGGCAGAUGUUUACAGCUAUGGAGUUUUGCUAUUGGAAAUCAUUAGCGGGAAGAACAACACCAGUUACAUACCGAUUAACAAUUGCAUUUGUCUCCUAGAUUGGGUAAGAUUCAAGUUUUCAUGGUCAAAUCUGUAAGACUAAAGGGUAUGGUUCGGCUCAUCCUCACGGGGAUGAGCCUCCACGUAGGCGCCACGUAGGCGGCUCGUGGGGGAUGAGCCAAAUGAAGGAUGGAGGGGGAUGGAGGAUGGGGCCCCACCUCAUUAUUUUAUAAUUUCCUAUGGUUUAAUUUAAUAACCCAAGUUAAUAAAAACUUUAUAAAAUUUAAAAAACACAACAUAAAAAACACAACAUAAAAAACACAACAUAAAACAACAUAAUUUCAUUUCAUAACAUAAAAAAAAAUUAAAUUUCCUAAAAAAAAAAGAAACCGAAAAUAAAAAUAAAAAAAAUUAUACCGACUAUCGGGCAAGUAGAGGCCUUAACAUACGCCAUAGCUAGCGCCUCCUCUUCUACUUUCGUCCAAGGUCUCCCCUUUGCUCUCAGUUUUGGCGCGGUUUCGGGUUCAACCUUCUUUCCCUUCCCCUUGUUUUUUUUGCGCGUGAGCUCUUGCGGUGGUGAUUCGGGGACGACUUCUUCAUCAUCAUCUUCAAGUUGAACCGGGGGUUGGGGUUGCGAUUGCGAUUGAAGUUGUUCAAACGUGUUGCGUUGCAUGAUUUGUUGGAGCGCUUGAUAUUGUUGAACUUGUUGAAGUUGAGACAUUUGUGAGAAGGCGUUGGGUGUUUGUUGGAAACCCGAAAACGGAAAUUGCGAAGCCCCCCACGAAGGAUCCAUAGUCGGAGUGUAAGCGGGACUCGAAAAAAAAUUAGGUUGGUUCGGAUUGGGAUUAUUCGGGUUGGGGUUGUUUGGGUUGAAUGGAUUCAUGAUUGGGAGAGAUGGUAUAAAAAUUAUAGAGUGUUUUUAUAAAAAAGGAAGAGAAUUGGAGAAGAAUGGGAGUAGAAUGAUAGAGAAUGGUAUAAAAAUGGAUUAGAUUGUGGUAUUUAUUUAAAAUGAAAAUGAUUUUUUUUUUAUUAAAAAUGCCGUUAUUAAACGGCUAUCUUUUCAAACAUUGGAGCGGCAACCCCGGCUGUGGGGUGCCAGGUUGGACGAGCUGAGCCCCAGGGGGCGGUGUGGGGGUUCGGCGCCGGGCCUAGCCGGGCAUCUGCCGGCCCCCAUACCUUCCAGUCUAAGGGUAGGGGUGCUCUUGGGCUCAGACAUCAAACCAAACCAAAAGCCGAAAAUUCAGUUUUUGGCUUUUUGAGUACUGAAAAUAACAUUAAAAUAUGUUCCGUUUUCAGACCAUAUGUAAUGGGGCGCGAGGCACCACCAUAGCGCCGAUAUGGCGCCAUGUACACCGGCCCCCCGGGCGCUAUGAGAAAAAAAAAAGGUUGGGCGUUUUGUUUUUCGCGGCGCGAGGAGGUGAUGUUUAUGAUUUUGACCGUUUGAUAACGGUCAUAUUUUAAAAAAAAAAAAAAAUUCAAUUUUUUUAUUUUUUACACUAUAAAAACCUCAUUUUCUUCCACUUUUUUUACAACUCAAACCUCAUACUCAUUCUCCAUACUCAUUCUCCAUAUAUUUUUAUAAAAGCUAGUCUCACUUUAUAAAAAAUGGGUUCCCCGUCGGAAGAGUCUUUCACCGAAAUUUACCGAAGAUAUUUUUCGCCCGACGAAGACGCGGCCGAGGAAGAAGCGGUUACGAGUGCGUGUACUUUUGUGCUACAAACAUUUGAGCACAUUCGGCCACCACCCCCUCCACGACCCAUCUUGCGACGCACCUAUAUCUUGCGAGAUCGUGAAGCCGCGAACGAGCGUUUGAUGAAAGAUUAUUUUGACGCGGCACCGGUUCACGGACCGAAUGUUUUUAGACGACGUUUUCGGAUGAGCCAAAGGUUAUUUUUGCGCAUUAACAAUGACUUGGAAAAUACGUACGAUUUCUUUAAGCAAAGAAUGGACGCACGAGGAUAUCUAGGCUUCACCUCAAUUCAAAAGGUCACAUCCGCCUUGCGCGUAUUAGCAUACGGAAACACGUACGACAUCAACGACGAGUAUUUGAAGAUGGCGGAGAAAACAACCCGAGAUACCUUGGAACAUUUUUGCUAUGGAAUAUGCCAGUUAUAUGGAAAACGUUAUUUGAGAAACCCCACUUGGAACGACCUUCAAAAAAUAUAUGAGGUGCAUCUAGAAAAGCAUGGAAUACCCGGCAUGAUUGGUAGCUUGGAUUGUCGUCAAUGGCGUUGGUAUAAUUGUCCAACCGCAUGGCGAGGUCAACAUACGCGUGGUGAUCAAAAAGGGCCAACUUUGGUAUUACAAGGUGUUGCGUCAUACGACCUUUGGGUUUGGUCGGCCUUCUUUGGUGUAGCCGGGUGUUUUAACGAUAUUAAUACGUUAGAGGCUUCACCAUUAAUCGAGGGCUACAUUUCUGGAACUAUACCAAAGGCCGGUUUCCAUGCAAACGGGAACGAUUACGAGCAUGGCUACUACUUGGGCGAUGGUAUCUACCCCGAGUAUUCGAUUAUUGUUAAAACGUUUUCUGAAACUUUCGAUGAAAAAAGAAAGUAUUUUAAAAAAUUACAAGAGUCUUCGAGAAAGGACAUCGAGAGGUGUUUUGGGGUUCUCCAGCAACGAUGGCAUUUUAUCAGGAAUCCUUGUCGCAUGUGGCAUAAGGAUAAAAUACGAAUGGCCAUGUAUGCUUGCAUCAUUUUGCAUAAUAUGAUCAUUGAGGAUGAUGGAAAAGCGAUAUGCCAAAACUAUAUUCCCGAAGAUUUGGUCGAACUACCCCAAGCGACAACGGAAGA